CAGUCGCCACGGGAAUACGAAGGGGGCUAGCGUUGCUCGGAAUUACUGGGCGUAAAGGGCGCGUAGGCGGCGCUCCAAGUUAGGCGUGAAAUUCCCGGGCUCAACCUGGGGACUGCGCUUAAGACUGGAGUGCUUGAGGAUGGAAGAGGGUUGUGGAAUUCCCAGUGUAGAGGUGAAAUUCGUAGAUAUUGGGAAGAACACCGGUGGCGAAGGCGGCAACCUGGUCCAUUACUGACGCUGAGGCGCGAUAGCGUGGGGAGCAAACAGGAUUAGAUACCCCUGUAGUCCCUGUCUCUUAUAC
This 301-nucleotide ribosomal RNA is filed under the name uncultured bacterium. RNAcentral describes it as "partial 16S ribosomal RNA". It matches the Rfam family "Bacterial small subunit ribosomal RNA", at positions 509 to 807 of the family's 1533-position model. The record is from RNAcentral.